This is a non-coding RNA of Sapajus apella (tufted capuchin), 2179 nucleotides long. Lineage: Eukaryota; Metazoa; Chordata; Mammalia; Primates; Cebidae. The record is from the annotation of a RefSeq genome assembly.
GUUCAGCCCUAUGUGGUAUGUGAGGGUAUUCACAGCGAAAAGCAGGGGUCCUGGAGCAGGCACAGUGGAUUCUGCUGUACAGAACAGGGAGCACUGCAUCUCAGGAAGCCUGCAAGGGAAGGACACAGGACAAUUACAUCACAGGAUGCCCCUCCCAUCAGGAAAAGCGAGGCUGAGAACUCAGCUCCUCCCCAGGAGGACUGAGCCCUGAGCACAGACACAGUGUUGCCUGACGCUUCGUGCCAUGGGCUUCAGGCUGCUCUGUUCGGUGCUGCUUUGUCUCCCAGGAGCAGGCCUGGGAGAGGCUGGAGUCACCCAAACUCCAAGACACCUAAUCAAAAUGAGAGGACAGCAAGUGACACUGAGGUGCUCCCCUAUCUCUGGGCAUAACAGUGUGUACUGGUACCAACAGGCCCCAGGACAGGGCCCUCAGUUCAUCUUUGAAUACUACAAUGCGAUACAGAGACAACAGGGAAACUUCCCUGUUCGAUUCUCAGGGCUCCAGUUCUCUAACUAUAGCUCUGAGAUGAAUGUGAGCGCCUUGGAGCUGGGGGACUCAGCCCUUUAUCUUUGUGCCAGCAGCUUGGCACAGCCCUACAAAGCCAACCACAUUCUGUGCACAAACCUCCCUGGCCCAAUGUGGAGGAACCUCAGCCCUGACGUGUCUGUGAGAAUCUGGGGACUGCAGGGGGAAAGAAAGGUAAUUUAGGAUGCUAGGACCCACAGCCUGGGGCUUUCUGCUAUUCAGGGCUGGGGGAAACAAGGCCAAGAGGGGCUGCUCAGAGGAUGACGCUGCUUCUGUAGGUUGACUGCAGAAUUACCUUCUCUGCUGACACAGUAAACUACAGGGUAGAGGACAUGUUUGUAAUUUAACAGCUGACACACUCUUUUUCAGGACAAGGGACCUCAUUUUGCGGUCGAGAUUGUUGAUAACAGCAUAGUGGAGAAGGGAGAAUCACAGGGUUUGCUUUAUACAACUGAAAUUGAGAUUUGGGGAAAGUCAAGGAGAGAGAAAACGAAAGAUGACUGAAAAUAGAGAGAGAGCAGACGAUGAUGAAAAGUGGUGUUCUUUGUGCCAUGAACUCUCUGUCCCCUCCUCCCAAAGUUUUCAAUACCUAUAAAAUACAAGGUAAAGAGUUUUCUAGCAACUGGAAUCACCUGGUAGCCAGUCCCAGUAGGGGACAUCAUCAAAGAGCCACCUGCCUGGUGUGAGAGCCCUGGCUUUGCUUCUGAUGUCUUCCUUCUUCUGGCCCUAAUCUUGACUCCUCAGGGCACAGUCAGGUACUUUCCAAAACAUAGAGGAAGGUAAAAUCACCCUUGUUCCUAAAGGAGCACAUACUCUCCAGUUUCCCCCCAAAUAAAUUCUGCUUCUCUGGAUCCCUUCCUGACACUCACCUCCCAAAUCCAAUUACCUUCUAUGAUCAAAUGCUCUUUGAACAUUUUCUAAAACUCAGCGCUUUUACAUCCUCAGCAUUUUUCCUAUUUCCAUGCCUGGGAGAACCUUUGUUUUCCUAAUACAGCACCAGAAACUGAUCAUGUGUCAAGGACUGGCUCACACCUGCCUUCCUUUUCACCUCGUACUGUGACAUCCCUGGGAUUCUACUAUAUCACUCCCUUUUCUUUAUUUUUGUAGGAAAAGCCAGGCAUAUAAUUGAUACCCUUUGAUGUUUGUAAAAUUAAUAAGUUAUUGCCCACUUAUAGAGAAUCCUGGAGUGUAAUUAAUUAUUGUCUGCUCUUUACAGGGGACUCCACUUGAAAUAUCAUGGAAAAUGAUUAUGACAAGUCUCAGUAUUUCAUAUAACUUCUGUAAUAUUCUAGCAACUGUGUCUUCACAGUCAGGGUUGAUGACCAGUCCUGUCAAGUUCCCAAAGGAUAUCUAAUGCUGGAAUUUGCAAAUGUUCUUUUGGAGUGAAGAAAAUUAUGUUAUUUGUGCUGACUGAAGAAUCACUGAAGAAAGGAAAUUAUGGUACAGUAAUAUUUGUAAAAACUCAUAAUCCUGUAAAAAAAAAAAAAAAAAAACUUCCUCACCAUAACCACACCUUCCAUAACCACACUUUUAGUGAUUUGGUGAAGACAGAAUAUCAUCAAAGGUGCUUCUUAAUCACCCUUGAUGAAAUCAACCUAAAACAUUGAAAACAAAAAACUAGCUUUGCUCAGUAAUGAAAUGUUACCAUCCUUG